This 603-nucleotide long non-coding RNA is filed under the name Mytilus galloprovincialis (Mediterranean mussel). The record is from RNAcentral. Lineage: Eukaryota; Metazoa; Mollusca; Bivalvia; Mytilida; Mytilidae.
GAAAAUUUAAUCAAAACAUGAUCUUAGAUAAACUUUCCUGUUAUGCUAACUGGUUUUCAGAAUAUUCUAAAUUAAUGAAAGCAAUACCAAAACAGUGGUUACAAGAGCUAACUUAAGAAGAAUCAAUAAAAACAAAAGUUGCCAUUGACUCCGUAUAUAAAUUUAAAGAUAAAAAAGGAAAAAUGGUAUCACUUAAAAACAUUUCCUCCAAAGACAUUUACAUCUCCCUCUUAAAUAGACAUUAUGAAAAACCAAUAGGAUUUCAAAAAUGGGACAACAUAUUUAUCUUGGAAAACAACACAAACAAAAGACAACAAAUGCUAAAUUAUAUCUUUUAUUAUAUACAAGAUAAUAAAUUCAAAAUGUUAAGAUGGAAAUUUCUGCACUACAUUUUUCCAACCAAACAAUUACUUUUCUCUUGGAAAAUAACUACAACUCCGCUAUGUAAUAUUUUUGAUGUCAUUGAAGAUUAUGAGCACUACUUUUUAACAUGCAAAUUUCUGAAAUCAUUUUGGGAUCAAAUAAAACUAUUACUUGAUAAACUUAAAAUAGGACAUCAUAUCAUAUCAAUUAAAUCACUUUUGUACGGAUACAAAAUAAACG